GACGAACGCUGGCGGCGUGCUUAACACAUGCAAGUCGAACGGAAAGGCCCUGCUUUUGUGGGGUGCUCGAGUGGCGAACGGGUGAGUAGCACGUGAGUAACCUGCCCUUGACUUUGGGAUAACUUCAGGAAACUGGGGCUAAUACCGGAUAGGAGCUCCUGCUGCAUGGUGGGGGUUGGAAAGUUUCGGCGGUUGGGGAUGGACUCGCGGCUUAUCAGCUUGUUGGUGGGGUAGUGGCUUACCAAGGCUUUGACGGGUAGCCGGCCUGAGAGGGUGACCGGCCACAUUGGGACUGAGAUACGGCCCAGACUCCUACGGGAGGCAGCAGUGGGGAAUAUUGCACAAUGGGCGGAGGCCUGAUGCAGCAACGCCGCGUGCGGGAUGACGGCCUUCGGGUUGUAAACCGCUUUCGCCUGUGACGAAACGUGAGUGACGGUAAUGGGUAAAGAAGCACCGGCUAACUACGUG
This 468-nucleotide ribosomal RNA is filed under the name uncultured bacterium. RNAcentral's name for it is "partial 16S ribosomal RNA". It matches the Rfam family "Bacterial small subunit ribosomal RNA", at positions 28 to 507 of the family's 1533-position model. The record is from RNAcentral.